CCGUGCUAGGCGGGGAGCUAGCGGUGCCCUGUACCCGCGAUCCGCUUCAGCGGGGCUGAAUCCCCGCCCGAGGCCCGUCGGGUCCGAGUCUGCUCCCGGCACGGAGCGUUGAAGGUUGGGUCCCGCGCGACGUCAUCCCGUGAACCCGGUCAGGUCCGGAAGGAAGCAGCCGUAAGCGGGGCGUGACGGGUGCCGCGGGCGUGCCUGACCGGAGCUACCGGCUGGUGACGCGACCAGGUUCGAUGCGGUCGACGGCGGGUGCACGG
This is a non-coding RNA of Actinobacteria bacterium RBG_19FT_COMBO_70_19, 266 nucleotides long. Lineage: Bacteria; Bacillati; Actinomycetota. The record is from Rfam.